This 318-nucleotide ribosomal RNA is filed under the name uncultured bacterium. RNAcentral describes it as "bacterial SSU rRNA". It matches the Rfam family "Bacterial small subunit ribosomal RNA", at positions 43 to 356 of the family's 1533-position model. The record is from RNAcentral.
GGGCGGCGGGAAUUCGAUUCAGGCCUAACACAUGCAAGUCGAGCGGGGUUUUCGGACCUAACGGCGGACGGGUGAGUAAUGCGUAGGAAGCUACCCGAUAGAGGGGGAUACCAGUUGGAAACGACUGUUAAUACCGCAUAAUGUCUACGGACCAAAGUGUGGGACCUUCGGGCCACAUGCUAUCGGAUGCGCCUACGUGGGAUUAGCUAGUUGGUGAGGUAAUGGCUCACCAAGGCGACGAUCUCUAGCUGGUUUGAGAGGAUGAUCAGCCACACUGGAACUGAGACACGGUCCAGACUCCUACGGGAGGCAGCAGUG